CUAGGGCGGCUGCUUCUAGACGCGUAAAUUGGGUGAUCUUUGAUUUUGAAAAGAUUGCAGCCGACGAUUAAUGAUAGUAAAAAAGAAUUCAAUUGGGACACAAAGAUUGACUUUUGNCCAAGAAAGUGAGAUGGUCUUGGAUGAAAAGGAAAGAACGAAGAACAGAGAAAUCUAAUAAGGAAUGUUGUAAAUUAUUAAGAAAAUUGCACAAAUGGAAGGAAAAAAAGAAUAAUUAGUUACCUGAAGGGUUGCAAAGCAGAAGAGGG
RNAcentral lists this unclassified non-coding RNA (266 nucleotides) under Hevea brasiliensis (rubber tree). The record is from RNAcentral. Lineage: Eukaryota; Viridiplantae; Streptophyta; Magnoliopsida; Malpighiales; Euphorbiaceae.